AGCCGGAUCCGGGACGCCCCGACGCCCCGCUCGGAGCCCCCUGGCGGCGGGGACAGGACUCCCUGUUCCCGGCCAGAGGCUCCCGCAGGAAAGGGAAGGACCGCCUUCAGCUUCCUCCCCUGGGGCCGGGGCCUCCACAGAAGCACGGCCGGCCUCCUCCGCCUGCCCACGGGCAGGGGAAUGGACAAGUUGACCUCUGGAUGAGCACCUCCCGGGGAUCUACGUGCCUGGCCCGUAGUAAGCGCUUCAGAAAUACCGUG
This is a long non-coding RNA of Tachyglossus aculeatus (Australian echidna), 260 nucleotides long. RefSeq lists it as uncharacterized. The record is from RefSeq and is a predicted model, not a curated record. Lineage: Eukaryota; Metazoa; Chordata; Mammalia; Monotremata; Tachyglossidae. The transcript has 3 exons.